This is a non-coding RNA of Capsicum annuum, 123 nucleotides long. The record is from Rfam. NCBI's taxonomy places the organism in Eukaryota, Viridiplantae, Streptophyta, Magnoliopsida, Solanales, Solanaceae.
GCGGUUUCUUAUUUUUUGGGCCACACUUUUUGACUGGCUCUUUACAAGUAAAGCUAUAAAGAUUGUUCCUCUCGCUAUCCUUUGCUCCUUUGUGUUGUAUUUGGAUGUCGAGGAACUACAUUA